Molecule: ribosomal RNA, 474 nt
Filed under: uncultured Curtobacterium sp.
Lineage: Bacteria; Bacillati; Actinomycetota; Actinomycetes; Micrococcales; Microbacteriaceae
Description: bacterial SSU rRNA
Rfam family: Bacterial small subunit ribosomal RNA
Source: RNAcentral
AAUUGACGGGGGCCCGCACAAGCGGCGGAGCAUGCGGAUUAAUUCGAUGCAACGCGAAGAACCUUACCAAGGCUUGACAUACACCGGUAACGCCCAGAGAUGGGUGCCCCUUUGUGGUCGGUGUACAGGUGGUGCAUGGUUGUCGUCAGCUCGUGUCGUGAGAUGUUGGGUUAAGUCCCGCAACGAGCGCAACCCUCGUCCUAUGUUGCCAGCGGGUCAUGCCGGGGACUCAUGGGAGACUGCCGGGGUCAACUCGGAGGAAGGUGGGGAUGACGUCAAAUCAUCAUGCCCCUUAUGUCUUGGGCUUCACGCAUGCUACAAUGGCCGGUACAAAGGGCUGCGAUACCGCGAGGUGGAGCGAAUCCCAGAAAGCCGGUCUCAGUUCGGAUUGGGGUCUGCAACUCGACCCCAUGAAGUCGGAGUCGCUAGUAAUCGCAGAUCAGCAACGCUGCGGUGAAUACGUUCCCGGGCCUU